This 326-nucleotide ribosomal RNA is filed under the name uncultured eukaryote. Its description in RNAcentral is "partial 18S ribosomal RNA". It matches the Rfam family "Eukaryotic small subunit ribosomal RNA", at positions 1470 to 1796 of the family's 1831-position model. The record is from RNAcentral.
CCCUUAGAUGUUCUGGGAUGCCCGCGCGUUACACUGAUUCGUUCAACGAGUUUGUGACCUUGCCUGAUGAGGUGGGGGAAUCUUUUCAAAUCGCAUCGUGAUGGGGAUAGAGUAUUGUAACUGUUAGUCUUCAACGAGGAAUUCCUAGUAAGUACGUGUCAUCAGCUCGUACUGAUUAUGUCCCUGCCCUUUGUACACACCGCCCGUCGCUCCUACCGAUUGAGUGCUCAGGUGAAUAGUAUGGACUGCAUCAGUGUUCGGUCUCCGAAUGUUGACGCGAGAAAUUCUGUGAAUCUUAUUGCUUAGAGGAAGGAGAAGUCGUAACA